This 462-nucleotide ribosomal RNA is filed under the name uncultured organism. RNAcentral's name for it is "bacterial SSU rRNA". It matches the Rfam family "Bacterial small subunit ribosomal RNA", at positions 28 to 507 of the family's 1533-position model. The record is from RNAcentral.
GACGAACGCUGGCGGCGUGCUUAACACAUGCAAGUCGAACGGUAAGGCUCUUCGGAGUACACGAGUGGCGAACGGGUGAGUAACACGUGAGCAACCUGCCCCUGACACUGGAAUAAGCAUUCGAAAGGGUGUCUAAUACCGGAUAUUACUUCUGCCUGCAUGGGUGGGAGUGGAAAGCUCCGGCGGUUGGGGAUGGGCUCGCGGCCUAUCAGCUUGUUGGUGAGGUAAUGGCUCACCAAGGCUUCGACGGGUAGCCGGCCUGAGAGGGCGACCGGCCACACUGGGACUGAGAUACGGCCCAGACUCCUACGGGAGGCAGCAGUGGGGAAUAUUGCGCAAUGGGCGGAAGCCUGACGCAGCAACGCCGCGUGCGGGAUGACGGCCUUCGGGUUGUAAACCGCUUUCAGCAGGGACGAAGCUUUUGUGACGGUACCUGCAGAAGAAGCACCGGCCAACUACGUG